CGAAAGCCUGACGGAGCAAGACCGCGUGAGGGAGGAAGGCUCUAGGGUUGUAAACCUCUUUUAUCAGGGAAGAAGCUCUGACGGUACCUGAGGAAUCAGCAUCGGCUAACUCCGUGCCAGCAGCCGCGGUAAUACGGAGGAUGCAAGCGUUAUCCGGAAUCAUUGGGCGUAAAGCGUCCGCAGGUGGGAGUACAAGUCGAUUGUCAAAGGCAGUAGCUUAACUACUGAAAGGCAGUGGAAACUGAACAACUAGAGUGCGGUAGGGGUAGAGGGAAUUCCCGGUGUAGCGGUGAAAUGCGUAGAGAUCGGGAAGAACACCAGUGGCGAAAGCGCUCUGCUGGACCGGCACUGACACUGAGGGACGAAAGCUAGGGGAGCG
This 379-nucleotide ribosomal RNA is filed under the name uncultured cyanobacterium. Its description in RNAcentral is "bacterial SSU rRNA". It matches the Rfam family "Bacterial small subunit ribosomal RNA", at positions 376 to 770 of the family's 1533-position model. The record is from RNAcentral. Lineage: Bacteria; Bacillati; Cyanobacteriota.